UACGUAGGGUGCAAGCGUUAAUCGGAAUUACUGGGCGUAAAGCGCACGUAGGCGGCUUGGUAAGUCCGGUGUGAAACCUUGGGGCUCAACCCCAAGCCUGCACUGGAUACUGCCUCGCUUGAGUCCGGGAGGGGAGAGCGGAAUUCCUAGUGUAGCGGUGAAAUGCGCAGAUAUUAGGAAGAACACCGGUGGCGAAGGCGGCUCUCUGGAACGGUACUGACGCUGAGACGCGAAAGCGUGGGGAGCGAACAGG
RNAcentral lists this ribosomal RNA (253 nucleotides) under uncultured bacterium. Its description in RNAcentral is "partial 16S ribosomal RNA". It matches the Rfam family "Bacterial small subunit ribosomal RNA", at positions 524 to 776 of the family's 1533-position model. The record is from RNAcentral.